Molecule: long non-coding RNA, 199 nt
Filed under: Elaeis guineensis (African oil palm)
Lineage: Eukaryota; Viridiplantae; Streptophyta; Magnoliopsida; Arecales; Arecaceae
Description: long non-coding RNA (EGUI_LNC010927)
Source: RNAcentral
CCCGAAAUGAUAUCCCAAUGAUGAUCUUGUGGAUAUCGAAACAAUAAAAUAGCUAGAGACCUCUCGUAUUUCAAAAAUCAUUAAUGCUAGCAGUCGAAUCGAGACUCGAAGCAGCACAUGAUGUGACAACUUCCUUCAUCCAGCAUGACAGGCUACGUGACAAUAUGCAUGUCGGACCACCUUGGACUUGGGAGUGGGG